RNAcentral lists this long non-coding RNA (329 nucleotides) under Helianthus annuus (common sunflower). Its description in RNAcentral is "sRNA HanXRQr2_Chr15g0693581". The record is from RNAcentral. Lineage: Eukaryota; Viridiplantae; Streptophyta; Magnoliopsida; Asterales; Asteraceae.
AUGCGAUGUUCUGUCCGAUCGAUUCAGGAACCAACUAACGGAUACCAAAGUAGUUCGUUAAACGGAUGCCAAAGUGCUAUACUUUGAGAGUUCGUUAAACGGAUGCCAAAGUACUAUACUUUGUGAUUUCGGUAAACGGAAUCCAAAGUGUUACACUUUGUGAAAUUCAUUAAGGUUCGAAUCUCGUGACUACCGUUAAGGUUUGAUUUGGGUUUUACACAAAUACGUAUUCCAUUCUGUUAAACUAUAUGUUUAACUACCAAAAAUACUCCCAACUACACACUCACAAUCAAACAAACUAUUAAAUCAUCAGAAGAUCCAGAAUAAUA